GACUACAUUGAAUUUCUCUUCUUCC
Molecule: non-coding RNA, 25 nt
Filed under: Rattus norvegicus (Norway rat)
Lineage: Eukaryota; Metazoa; Chordata; Mammalia; Rodentia; Muridae
Source: RNAcentral